AAUAAGCUUUAGGGGUGUCCUUAACUUUGGUUUUGGUCUGAGAAAUACCCUUUGAACCUGAUGCGGUUAGUACCGACGAAGGGAAAAGUUAUGAUCACUUC
Molecule: non-coding RNA, 101 nt
Filed under: Aquimarina spongiae
Lineage: Bacteria; Pseudomonadati; Bacteroidota; Flavobacteriia; Flavobacteriales; Flavobacteriaceae
Description: TPP sequence
Rfam family: TPP riboswitch aptamer (THI element)
About the family: Vitamin B(1) in its active form thiamin pyrophosphate (TPP) is an essential coenzyme that is synthesised by coupling of pyrimidine and thiazole moieties in bacteria. The previously detected thiamin-regulatory element, thi box was extended, resulting in a new, highly conserved RNA secondary structure, the THI element, which is widely distributed in eubacteria and also occurs in some archaea.
Source: Rfam by way of RNAcentral